GAUGAACGCUGGCGGCGUGCCUAAUACAUGCAAGUCGAGCGAACAGAUGAGGAGCUUGCUCCUUUGACGUUAGCGGCGGACGGGAGAGUAACACGUAGGUAACCUACCUAUAAGACUGGGAUAACUUCGGGAAACCGGAGCUAAUACCGGAUAAUAUUUCGAACUGCAUGGUUCGAUAGUGAAAGAUGGCUUUGCUAUCACUUAUAGAUGUACCUGCGCCGUAUUAGCUAGUUGGUAAGGUAACGGCUUACCAAGGCAACGAUACGUAGCCGACCGGAGAGGGGGAUCGGCAACAACGGAACUGAGACACGGUCCAGACUCCUACGGGAGGCAGCAGUAGGGAAUCUUCCGCAAUGGGCGCAAGCCUGACGGAGCAACGCCGCGUGAGUGAUGAAGGUCUUCGGAUCGUAAAACUCUGUUGUUAGGGAAGAACAAAUUUGUUAGUAACUGAACAAAUCUUGACGGUACCUAACCAGAAAGCCACGGCUAACUUCGUGCCAGCAGCCGCCGUAA
RNAcentral lists this ribosomal RNA (513 nucleotides) under uncultured bacterium. RNAcentral's name for it is "partial 16S ribosomal RNA". It matches the Rfam family "Bacterial small subunit ribosomal RNA", at positions 28 to 523 of the family's 1533-position model. The record is from RNAcentral.